RNAcentral lists this non-coding RNA (26 nucleotides) under Homo sapiens (human). Lineage: Eukaryota; Metazoa; Chordata; Mammalia; Primates; Hominidae. The record is from RNAcentral.
UGCCAAACCAUCGAAGGCUUUCCUGC